Molecule: long non-coding RNA, 875 nt
Organism: Zingiber officinale
Lineage: Eukaryota; Viridiplantae; Streptophyta; Magnoliopsida; Zingiberales; Zingiberaceae
Exons: 5
Source: RefSeq, a predicted model, not a curated record
CCCAUUUAAAUGAGGAAAAGUUUAUUUUUCUUUUUAUUUUCCUUUCCAUUUUCUUUUCCCUCCUAUUUUCUUUUUCUUUCUUCCCCGACGUCGUUCCUUGCGGUUCUUCCCCUCGCACCCGAUCUGCCCUAACUGUUGCCGGCCGCGCGCCUUAGCCGCGGUUUGCCCCUUUUCAGCGCCACCGACUGCCACAGCCGACGCCGGCAGACGAGAGAGAGCAACGCCGAGUCCUAGUCUCUCCGCAGUCCUCAGCGCCAACCGCCGCCUUGUUCUUUGCUUGAGCAGCCGACGAUCGCCGGGAUUUUCCUCACCAGUGGCGUGCCCUAGAGUUGAUACACUGUCGCCGCUGCGAGGGUGGUGUUGAUCAUCGUAGCAGAAAUCGAGUCUCAGUCUCCUCGCGCCGAGCAACAUUUGCGACCAUUUUCCCUCUCCCCUCUGCCCUAGUUCUUUAUUGUCGAGCCUUUUUCCUCUUCCCGAGUUGCUGCCAUGUCCCGACAUACCUUCAAGCAAAGGAAAGGGGGAAUUCAAAACCCUAGUUUCGGUUCCUUGUCACAAGCCAUAGCGGUGAUACACAUCUCGCAGUAGGGAAGUGGCUGCAUCACCAUCUAUUUUGGUCUCUGGUAAAGGGGAAAGAUGCACAGCACAUAAUUGGGAUUUGGGCACAGGAUUCUGGUUAUCAUAGCACCGAAUGCCUGGUUGUUUUCAUGAUAUCCAUCUUUGAUCCGGUUGAUACCAGUGUGGUUCAGUGAGGAUGUUGAUUUGGGGCGAGCACUUUGACAUAGAGGUUGAUUAGCUCGAACUACAUUGGAAGCGGGUACCAGGUUUGGUUUUGGUGUCGCUUGGAGUAUCCUGUCUGCUGGUCCCCACGUCACAUC